UACAGAGGUCUCAAGCGUUGUUCGGAUUCAUUGGGCGUAAAGGGUGCGUAGGCGGCGCGGUAAGUCGGGUGUGAAAUCUCGGAGCUUAACUCCGAAACUGCAUUCGAUACUGCCGUGCUUGAGGACUGGAGAGGAGACUGGAAUUUACGGUGUAGCGGUGAAAUGCGUAGAUAUCGUAAGGAAGACCAGUGGCGAAGGCGGCAUCCUGGACCAAUUCUGACGCUGAGGAGCGAAAGCCAGGGGAGCAAACGGG
Molecule: ribosomal RNA, 253 nt
Filed under: uncultured bacterium
Lineage: Bacteria
Description: partial 16S ribosomal RNA
Rfam family: Bacterial small subunit ribosomal RNA
Source: RNAcentral